UCUUGACAUCUUAUAUAAUCUCCUUUAAUGAAUCAUGUUAUUUGUCAAAGUAAAAGUUAACUAUUCGAUUGGUUUAAAUUUUUUAAUUUAUUACUUAUUGUAUUGAGCCCAUCUAGAAAUGGAUUAGAAUACAAAAAGUAGCAAUUACAUUCACAUAGGUAUUUAACAUUUUCAAUUCAAAAAUCAAGUUUAGGUUUUAUUUAUUCAAAAAUCAAAUUAUAGUUCUAUAUUUUAAUAUUAUUAAAAAUAAUAUAAAUUAAUUUAUAUACUCACACUGCCAGACCCUAUCCACACCAUCCAAAUCAUAAAUCAUUUUCUCGCAUCUUCCUCCCCAUUCUCUCUAUCUUCAUUUCCCUCUCACGUCUGUCUCUAUCUCUCUGUUAGACCACGUCGUUGUCAGAGCGCCAAUCGUCGGAGACCACCUCUAAGCGUCGUUGCUGCAGCGGUGCUGUGAAGAGAAGUUGUGCAUCGUCAGUGCAGCGAUCCCUAUGCAGCCACAUAAUUACUAUUUGUUGUAGCGAUGCUGUGAAGAGAAAGUCUCGCACAUCGUCAUCCUCGCACAUCGUCAUCAUGCUAUCGCAGUGUUGAUGAGAACAAAAAGCCACGUGCAACGAUGUGAUCACUGCUUGCAUACGACUCUGCAUGAUACCGCUAUAGUGAUGCUCAAGUCGCGACUACAGUAGUGAUCAUCGAUAAUGGUGUUGGUUUUUUUGGUAGCUGGAGUGGUGGUGAUUGAGGUGGCAAUAGAUGUGGUGGUGGUGUAGAUGUAGUGCUAGUUUUGGUGUUCUUGUCGUGGUGGUGGUCACAAAUGACUAAGGUGGCGCUGGCGAUGAUGUGGUGCGGAAUUGUGUUUGGGUUGUGUUGGAUUGUUGUAAUCAAUUUUUUCAGUGAUUGCGACUAAUAAAGUAGUUAAUUUUUUAUCAUAAAUAAUGUGAUUGAUAAAUAAUUCGCGACCAUUAUUUUGUGAUUGUGACCAAUAAAAUGGAUAAGCUGUGAUCAAUUAAUUUAAAAUUUUGUGACUGUAAAAUAAGUUGUAACUUGUAAAAUUUGUAAUUUGUGAUCGAGAAAUAGUAUGCAAUCAAUUAAUUUGAUAAUUUGCGAUUGUAAAAUAAGUUGUGACCUGUAAAGUUUGUGAAUCGUGUUUUAGAAAAUAAUACACGAUCUUUUAUUUUGAUAAGUUGUGAUUAGGGCUAGGCGCCAAAACCCGUAUCUCAAAAAAAUCAAACCCCAUCCGACUUGAUUUGAGUCGAUUUCGGUCGGGUUUCACAAUUUUCGAGUUAGG
Molecule: long non-coding RNA, 1282 nt
Filed under: Olea europaea (common olive)
Lineage: Eukaryota; Viridiplantae; Streptophyta; Magnoliopsida; Lamiales; Oleaceae
Description: long non-coding RNA (OEUR_LNC011117)
Source: RNAcentral